This 627-nucleotide ribosomal RNA is filed under the name Polymastia sp. WAMZ3927. RNAcentral describes it as "eukaryotic LSU rRNA". It matches the Rfam family "Eukaryotic large subunit ribosomal RNA", at positions 411 to 966 of the family's 3401-position model. Lineage: Eukaryota; Metazoa; Porifera; Demospongiae; Polymastiida; Polymastiidae. The record is from RNAcentral.
GGAGGGAAACGAAUGCAGCUGAAGUGGCUCCGUAUCAGGUUCAGGGGGUGUCGGCGGAUGUGCCGGGUUUGGGCAGCUCGCGCGUCCUUGCUCGGAUAGGUCGUCGACUUGCACUCCCGUUGGGAGCCGGCCAACAGCAGUUGUUUCUGGCCCAGAAGGGAGCGUAUAGCCGUCCGCGACUGAGGAGAGCAGCGCAGGCCCCCGGGUCGCCUCUGUCCGCUUCCCCGCGGCGGGGGCAGUGUCCGCUGACGGCCAGUCUGCUCGGUCGGGGGACCGACUACGCCUUGCGCUCUAGUUGUUGGUGCUCAAAUGGCUGCAUCCGACCCGUCUUGAAACACGGACCAAGGAGUGCAACAUGCGUGCGAGUCUUGGGGUGGCAAACCCGUCGGCGCAAUGAAAGUGAAGGCAGGCCGCAUCGUCGACCGAUCCCAGGCUACGCUGUGGCGGGAUUUGAGUAAGAGCGUGCCUGUUGCGACCCGAAAGAUGGUGAACUAUGCCUGAAUAGGGUGAAGCCAGAGGAAACUCUGGUGGAAGCUCGUAACGAUUCUGACGUGCAAAUCGAUCGUCAAAUUUGGGUAUAGGGGCGAAAGACUAAUCGAACCAUCUAGUAGCUGGUUCCCUCCGAAG